Long non-coding RNA from Haliotis rubra (blacklip abalone), 324 nucleotides. RefSeq lists it as uncharacterized. Lineage: Eukaryota; Metazoa; Mollusca; Gastropoda; Lepetellida; Haliotidae. The record is from RefSeq and is a predicted model, not a curated record. The transcript has 3 exons.
CAAAUACAAAGUGUCAGGCAAGAGAAACCGGUGCAGUUUUGCAUUAGGUCCUGCCUGAUCUAAACAGUUGGACACAAAGCUUUACAGAUGCACAAAUGCAGUCCCAGCCAGUCAGCCGCCCAGUGCCAUCCAACCUUGACUCUGAACCUGUGAGAAGUCUUCAGCACAAACCUGUGUAACUGUGUGACAGGGCACAUGUAUUGCAUGUGCAUGGGUUAAACUGCUGGUGUGGUGAAGGGGAUGUGUUAACUCUUUAGUACUCAACCUAGUGACUAUCCUGGGUAGCUGGGUGACAGGGCUCAUGUGUUGCAUAAAACGGCUGGU